UGGGGAAUAUUGCACAAUGGGCGCAAGCCUGAUGCAGCCAUGCCGCGUGUAUGAAGAAGGCCUUCGGGUUGUAAAGUACUUUCAGCGGGGAGGAAGGGAGUAAAGUUAAUACCUUUGCUCAUUGACGUUACCCGCAGAAGAAGCACCGGCUAACUCCGUGCCAGCAGCCGCGGUAAUACGGAGGGUGCAAGCGUUAAUCGGAAUUACUGGGCGUAAAGCGCACGCAGGCGGUUGAUUGAGUCAGAUGUGAAAUCCCCGGGCUUAACCCGGGAAUUGCAUCUGAUACUGGUAAGCUAGAGUCUUGUAGAGGGGGGUAGAAUUCCAUGUGUAGCGGUGAAAUGCGGAGAGAUGUGGAGGAAUACCGGUGGCGAAGGCGGCCCCCUGGACAAAGACUGACGCUCAGGUGCGAAAGCGUGGGGAGCAAACAGG
Molecule: ribosomal RNA, 429 nt
Filed under: Chloroflexota bacterium
Lineage: Bacteria; Bacillati; Chloroflexota
Description: Chloroflexi bacterium partial 16S ribosomal RNA
Rfam family: Bacterial small subunit ribosomal RNA
Source: RNAcentral